AGAGUUUGAUCCUGGCUCAGGACGAACGCUGGCGGCACGCUUAACACAUGCAAGUCGAACGAGAGAAGAGGAGCUUGCUUUUCUGAUCUAGUGGCGGACGGGUGAGUAACACGUGAGCAAUCUGCCUUUCAGAGGGGGAUACCGAUUGGAAACGAUCGUUAAUACCGCAUAACAUAAUUGAACCGCAUGAUUUGAUUAUCAAAGAUUUAUCGCUGAAAGAUGAGCUCGCGUCUGAUUAGCUAGUUGGUAAGGUAACGGCUUACCAAGGCGACGAUCAGUAGCCGGACUGAGAGGUUGAUCGGCCACAUUGGGACUGAGACACGGCCCAGACUCCUACGGGAGGCAGCAGUGGGGAAUAUUGCACAAUGGAGGAAACUCUGAUGCAGCGAUGCCGCGUGAGGGAAGAAGGUUUUAGGAUUGUAAACCUCUGUCUUCAGGGACGAAAAAAGACGGUACCUGAGGAGGAAGCUCCGGCUAACUACGUGCCAGCAGCCGCGGUAAUACGUAGGGAGCUAGCGUUGUCCGGAAUUACUGGGUGUAAAGGGAGCGUAGGCGGGAUCGCAAGUCAGAUGUGAAAACUAUGGGCUUAACCCAUAAACUGCAUUUGAAACUGUGGUUCUUGAGUGAAGUAGAGGUAAGCGGAAUUCCUAGUGUAGCGGUGAAAUGCGUAGAUAUUAGGAGGAACAUCAGUGGCGAAGGCGGCUUACUGGGCUUUAACUGACGCUGAGGCUCGAAAGCGUGGGGAGCAAACAGGAUUAGAUACCCUGGUAGUCACGCCGUAAACGAUGAUUACUAGGUGUGGGGGGACUGACCCCUUCCGUGCCGCAGCAAACGCAAUAAGUAAUCCACCUGGGGAGUACGACCGCAAGGUUGAAACUCAAAGGAGUUGACGGGGGCCCGCACAAGCAGUGGAGUAUGUGGAUUAAUUCGAAGCAACGCGAAGAACCUUACCAGGUCUUGACAUCGUAUGCAUAGCUCAGAGAUGAGUGAAAUCUCUUCGGAGACAUAUAGACAGGUGGUGCAUGGUUGUCGUCAGCUCGUGUCGUGAGAUGUUGGGUUAAGUCCCGCAACGAGCGCAACCCUUACUGUUAGUUGCUACGCAAGAGCACUCUAGCAGGACUGCCGUUGACAAAACGGAGGAAGGUGGGGAUGACGUCAAAUCAUCAUGCCCCUUAUGACCUGGGCCUCACACGUACUACAAUGGCUGUCAACAGAGGGAAGCAAAGCCGCGAGGUGGAGCGAACCCCUAAAAGCAGUCUUAGUUCGGAUUGUAGGCUGCAACCCGCCUACAUGAAGUCGGAAUUGCUAGUAAUCGCAGAUCAGCAUGCUGCGGUGAAUACGUUCCCGGGCCUUGUACACACCGCCCGUCACGCCAUGGGAGUCGGUAACACCCGAAGCCUGUAGUCUAACCGCAAGGAGGACGCAGUCGAAGAUGGGAUUGAUGACUGGGGUGAAGUCGUAACAAGGUA
This 1469-nucleotide ribosomal RNA is filed under the name metagenome. RNAcentral's name for it is "bacterial SSU rRNA". It matches the Rfam family "Bacterial small subunit ribosomal RNA". The record is from RNAcentral.